RNAcentral lists this long non-coding RNA (578 nucleotides) under Marmota monax (woodchuck). The record is from RNAcentral. Lineage: Eukaryota; Metazoa; Chordata; Mammalia; Rodentia; Sciuridae.
UCCUGUAAAAUUAAAAGCAUUUUACAAGUAUCCAAUAUAUAAUGGUACAGAGUAAACAUUUCCAUUCACAAAAUUAGGGGCAUAGGAAGAAAGGAGAGGACCAAAGCAAGACCGAAAUCCAGCUGGGCAAACAGGUCCUGUAGCUCCAUGUCUGGCAUCUGGUUCACAUGGCAUUGUGAUAUUCUCUCCAAAGGGCUGUGUAAAUCCCAAAUAAUUUAUAUAGAUACUCCCCAUUCAAGAAAAUGGAGGUACCUCCCCACCCCUCAGGUGUGGGUGCACAGGAGGUCUUUCUUCCAAGGAGUACAGCAUAGAAAAGAGGAACAACAACGGAACAAUAAAGCGGUGUUGUUGUCAUAGUAGCACGCCCUGACAAACACCACCUGGGCCAGGUGAUCCAAGGUGAGUCAACAAAGGAAUGUCAUGUUAACAGCGUUCACCCUGGACAUGAUGUCCUGGGAAUGGCAUUUUGGCUCCGGGAUCCUCCUUCCUCAAAGCCUUAACUCUGAGGAAAACAACAGAAAGACCAAGACUAAUAGGGCAUCCUACAAAAUACCUGACUGGUACUGCUCAAAACUGCC